Onychomys torridus (southern grasshopper mouse) is the source of this 2627-nucleotide long non-coding RNA. RefSeq lists it as uncharacterized. Lineage: Eukaryota; Metazoa; Chordata; Mammalia; Rodentia; Cricetidae. The record is from RefSeq and is a predicted model, not a curated record. The transcript has 4 exons.
GCUGUCUUACAUGAGUGCUGGAAACCAAACUCAGUGUUGGAAGUUGAACUAAGGGCUUCAUGUUCUGCCACUGAGCUGUGCAGCCCUCAAGUGUUUAAAAGAAAACAGGACCAAAGGGUUAAAUAACUUGUCAAAGGUCACACAGUUGGGAAGGAACAAAAUCCGACUCAGACCCGGGUAAAUCAGUUGCUGUCGGGUCUUGCCAUUCCGCUGCAGAAAAGAGCCGGAGUUCUCAGCCAGUCAGGAGGAGGUUGCUGAGGAGCCAGGGGCUUUCUGUAGAGUGCCAGCUUCCUGUCCGUAAAGAAUUCUCUAAACUCAUCAAUGCGAAAUUGACAGAUUUAAAGUGUCCAAAGGAGGCCUCAGAAGUGGUUUGCUGCUGUCUGAAGACUGUGUUCUCAUCGCUCAGAUUCGGUUUUUCCAUUUCCCUUCGGUUCUUCAGCACUGAUCUGUGACACUCAUUGGUAUACUAGACAUAUAACUCCUGUCUUCAUAGCCAGCAUAGAGCUCACAGCUGUGGUGUCUUGGUACUUUACACUGUGAUUAAUUGCCAAUUAUAAACAUCUGAUGAAUAUUUGAAACCCUGCCUUAGAUGACUUGUGUUAUGUAGCUGACGUGUAUGGUUAGUUGAAAAGACUGAGGCUAUGAAGUUCCUUGCCACCAAGAGCAGAAUUCAGUCAAAAUUUCAUGCUCUCCCGAUCUCUACUAAGAGUAUUUUGCUCUUUUGACAACUAAAACAUACCUGUGCCUUAUGGUCCAACUCAGUUCCUGCCUCCUCCCCAGUCCUUUCCUGACAGUCCUCUCUGACGCCCACCUCAAGGUCUCUUACCUGUGAGGCUGUAAUGUCAUGAGAUGCAGCAUCUACUCUCUGAAUUGCACAUCAAAGUUUACAUGCUGUGCUUCUUCAGCCUUCCCCGAGGCGCCUAGAGCAGUGCCCAGCACACGUGGAAGCUCCCUGGCAGAAAUGCACAUCAACCUGAAGUCAUCAGUGCCCUAGAAGCAGCCAGAGUUAACUUCAAGACGGGCCACUCCAGAAAUAAGUUUGUCAGCUGGUGGCUAGGGGUUUGAAAUCACUGUUGUCUACCACCCACAGAAAAGUGUGAAGAAAUUAUAUACCUUGUCAUAUUCAUUAGGGAAUUACUAAUGAGUAUACAAAAAGAGAAAUUAAUGGAACAGAUAGAGAAAAGAAAUUCAGGAAGGAGGGAAAGAAAUAAUUUGGAAAAGGCAAAACCCAAAUCCCAGCACUCCCAUUCUUGGAUGUAAUGUGUUUCCUUUUUUCAGGACAAAAAUCCAAAGACUCCUUGCAAGUGCAUUUAAUGGAUCAUUACUGGCCCAUCUUACUACUUACUGUGUGCAGAAAUAACUGUCUGUCCCAGUUUGAAUUAGGAACAAACUGGAAAGGCAGUGGCUUUGGGGGGGAAAUCAGUAAAUGUAGAAGCCUAGUAACACUGGCACAUUGUGGCAGUGAGAAAUGACCACUCCAAACGAGGCUAGCUUCUCACUUACUGGUCACGGUCUCAGUGAUUCCAUGAGAUUUCUCACUUUAUAGGCCGCGCUUCCCACUGGCAGCAGCUGAAGCAGUUUAUUAUGCACAUCUGUCACGUGGUACACUUCAUCACCCAAAUCGAACUGGGAGAGUAAGACACCCUAACAAGCCCCUUCAGUACAGUCUUAAAAACUACUUACAGAUGUACUCUUCCUCUGUAGGGACACAAGGAGUUUCCUUGUGCUGUGCCACAUGAUACAGGAAAUGCAUUGUCCCCGUUCAAAUUCAGGCAUACGAGGAGGAAGCAUGUGAAAAGAAAGCAGCUCACAAAAGCUCACACAGCUUUUGCAAAAGUCCUUAGAGGGGCUCACACACCAGUUUAUGAUAAGAGCAGAUAAAAUCCUCUCUCUCUCUGCAGCUCAGUUCAUUUCAAAUGCUAAUGUCCACACAGGGAAAGGAAACCACAUCAGCAUUCAGCCUUGACACAAACACUGCUAAUCCUUUUUAUUUAUGAUGGUCACUGAGCCCCUCUGCGCCAUGCCAGGCCUCCAUUGUCUUACAGCUUUGGCUACUUUAUGUGCUUCUCGAAGGUGAGUUGUGCUGUUAACCACUGUUUGGGAUCUAGAGGCAGGAAUCAGUACGUUCAUAUUCACAUCAGCUUGAAUUGGAUAUUUCUGUUGAAUCAUUCAGUCCAGAGUUAGAUUUACCUGCCCUUGUUAAAUCUCCUGCUUCUCAUGGCGUGAUCAAUUCAUGAUUCAUGCAGUCAACCAACACAUACUAAAAUGUAACCCAUGUCCCAGUAUUCCAGUCACUGGCAAUGCAGCAGGGAAUAGAGUCCUAUAUUUAUAUAGAUAAUAAUUUAGAGAGGGGAGACAGGAAACAGAUAAAUAUGUCAAAUAGUCUGUCUGUCAGAAUAGAUUACAUUGUUUUGUGGCAAUAAACACCUCAGAGGUGUGUAAGCAUCUCAGAGGCUGCAAACAACAAUGUUUAUUCCUCAUCACAGCGUUCACUGAAGGUCAGAAGGAGGGGCUCUCUUCUGGAUCACUCCCCUCUGGCACCCAGGCUAUCCAGAGCACCACCGUGGAGUAAGGCUAGUCUUAGGCAGAAGAUCAAAUGAAUGGCCUCCAAUGCCGGGCGGUGGUGG